RNAcentral lists this ribosomal RNA (776 nucleotides) under Halomonas sp. Loihi-Chm(16S)-4. RNAcentral's name for it is "bacterial SSU rRNA". It matches the Rfam family "Bacterial small subunit ribosomal RNA", at positions 8 to 779 of the family's 1533-position model. The record is from RNAcentral. Lineage: Bacteria; Pseudomonadati; Pseudomonadota; Gammaproteobacteria; Oceanospirillales; Halomonadaceae.
AGAGUUUGAUCCUGGCUCAGAUUGAACGCUGGCGGCAGGCUUAACACAUGCGAGUCGAGCGGUAACGGGGGGAGCUUGCUCCCCGCUGACGAGCGGCGGACUGGUGAGUAAUGCAUAGGAGACUGCCCAGUAUUGGGGGAUAGCCCGGGGAAACCCGGAUUAAUACCGCAUACGCCCUUUGGGGGAAACAGGGGAUCUUCGGACCUUGCGCUAUUGGAUGUGCCUAUAUCGGAUUAGCUAGUUAGUGGGGUAAGAACCUACCAGGGCGACGAUCCGUAUCUGGUCUGAGAAGAUGAUCAGCCACAUCGGGACUGAGACACGGCCCGAACUCCUACGGGAGGCAGCAGUGGGGAAUAUUGACUAUGGGGGCAACCUGAUCCAGCCCAUGCCGCGUGUGUGAAGAAGGCUUUCGGGUUGUAAAACACUUUCAGUGAGGAGGAAAACCUUAAGUUUAAUACGCUUGAGGCUUGACGUUACUCACAGAAGAAGCACCGGCUAACUCCGUGCCAGCAGCCGCGGUAAUACGGAGGGUGCAAGCGUUGAUCGGAAUUACUGGGCGUAAAGCGCGCGUAGGUGGCUUGAUAAGCCGGUUGUGAAAGCCCCAGGCUCAACCUGGGAACGGCAUCCGGAACUGUCAAGCUAGAGUGCAAGAGAAGAAGGUAGAAUUCCCGGUGUUACCGGUGAAAUGCGUAGAAAUCGGGAAGAAUACCACUGGCGAAGGGGCCUUCUGGACUGACCUGACACUGAAGUUCGAAAGCCUUGGUACCAACAGGAUA